This 494-nucleotide ribosomal RNA is filed under the name uncultured bacterium. Its description in RNAcentral is "partial 16S ribosomal RNA". It matches the Rfam family "Bacterial small subunit ribosomal RNA", at positions 28 to 523 of the family's 1533-position model. The record is from RNAcentral.
GACGAACGCUGGCGGCGUGCUUAACACAUGCAAGUCGAGCGAUGAAAGCCUUAUGAACUAUUCGUAGUGAUUGAGGCCGGAUUAGCGGCGGACGGGUGAGUAACGCGUGAGCAACCUGCCCUAAACAACGGGAUAGCCUCGGGAAACCGGGAUUAAUACCGUAUGAGACCCCGCCUUCACAUGAAGAAGAGGUUAAAGAUUUAUCGGUUUAAGAUGGGCUCGCGUCUGAUUAGCUAGUUGGUGAGAUAAAAGCCCACCAAGGCGACGAUCAGUAACCGGCUUGAGAGAGUGAACGGUCACAUUGGAACUGAGACACGGUCCAAACUCCUACGGGAGGCAGCAGUGGGGAAUAUUGCACAAUGGGGGAAACCCUGAUGCAGCGACGCCGCGUGAGCGAUGAAGGAAUUCGUUUCGUAAAGCUCUGUCCAAGGGGAAGAUAGUGACAGUACCCUUGGAGGAAGCCCCGGCUAAAUACGUGCCAGCCGCCGCGGUAA